GCCCCCCUAGCUCAGUCGGUAGAGCGUUUCCAUGGUAAGGAAGAGGUCAACGGUUCGAUUCCGUUGGGGGGCUC
Molecule: transfer RNA, 74 nt
Filed under: actinobacterium SCGC AAA044-D11
Lineage: Bacteria; Bacillati; Actinomycetota; Actinomycetes
Also listed under: 2 other names
Description: tRNA-Thr
Rfam family: tRNA
About the family: Transfer RNA (tRNA) molecules are approximately 80 nucleotides in length.
Source: RNAcentral